GGAAUUCGCCCUUAGAGUUUGAUCCUGGCUCAGGAUGAACGCUGGCGGCGUGCUUAACACAUGCAAGUCGAACGGGGGUCAUAUGAUGGAAGUCUUCGGAUGGAAGUGGUGUGACUCUAGUGGCGGACGGGUGAGUAACACGUGAGCAACCUGCCUUUUGCUGGGGAAUAACUGUGGGAAACCAUGGCUAAUACCGCAUAUUGUACUGACUGGGCAUCCGGUUGGUAUGAAAGGAGAAAUCCGGCAGAAGAUGGGCUCGCGUCCGAUUAGGUAGUUGGUGGGGUAACGGCUCACCAAGCCGACGAUCGGUAGCCGGACUGAGAGGUCGAACGGCCACAUUGGGACUGAGAUACGGCCCAGACUCCUACGGGAGGCAGCAGUGGGGAAUAUUGGGCAAUGGGGGAAACCCUGACCCAGCGACGCCGCGUGAAGGACGAAGGCUUUCGGGUUGUAAACUUCUUUGGGGAGGGACGAAAUUGACGGUACCUCCAGAACAAGCCACGGCUAACUACGUGCCAGCAGCCGCGGUAAUACGUAGGUGGCAAGCGUUAUCCGGAUUUACUGGGUGUAAAGGGCGCGCAGGCGGUUCUGAAAGUCAGAUGUGAAAGAUCAAGGCUUAACUUUGACAGGUCAUCUGAAACUUUGGGACUUGAGUAUCAGAGGGGAAAGUGGAAUUCCUGGUGGAGCGGUAAAAUGCGCAGAGAUCAGGAGGAACACCGGUGGCGAAGGCGACUUUCUGGCUGACAACUGACGCUGAGGCGCGAAAGCGUGGGGAGCAAACAAGAUUAGAUACCCUGGUAGUCCACGCCGUAAAC
RNAcentral lists this ribosomal RNA (815 nucleotides) under uncultured bacterium. RNAcentral's name for it is "bacterial SSU rRNA". It matches the Rfam family "Bacterial small subunit ribosomal RNA", at positions 1 to 807 of the family's 1533-position model. The record is from RNAcentral.